RNAcentral lists this ribosomal RNA (425 nucleotides) under uncultured bacterium. RNAcentral's name for it is "partial 16S ribosomal RNA". It matches the Rfam family "Bacterial small subunit ribosomal RNA", at positions 354 to 796 of the family's 1533-position model. The record is from RNAcentral.
GUGGGGAAUAUUGGACAAUGGGCGCAAGCCUGAUCCAGCCAUGCCGCGUGAGUGAUGAAGGCCCUAGGGUUGUAAAGCUCUUUCACCGGUGAAGAUAAUGACGGUAACCGGAGAAGAAGCCCCGGCUAACUUCGUGCCAGCAGCCGCGGUAAUACGAAGGGGGCUAGCGUUGUUCGGAAUUACUGGGCGUAACGCGCACGUAGGCGGGUAUUUAAGUCCGGGGUAAAGUCCCGGAGCUCAACUCCGGAACUGCCUUUGAUACUGGGUACCUAGAGUAUGGAAGAGGUAAGUGGAAGUCCGAGUGUAGAGGUGAAAUUCGUAGAUAUGCGGAGGAACACCAGUGGCGAAGGCGGCUUACUGGUCCAUUACUGACGCUGAGGUGCGAAAGCGUGGGGAGCAAACAGGAUUAGAAACCCGUGUAGUCC